UCGAGCGCCCCGCAAGGGGAGCGGCAGACGGGUGAGUAACGCGUGGGAAUCUACCGAGCCCUACGGAAUAACGCAUGGAAACGUGUGCUAAUACCGUAUACGCCCUACGGGGGAAAGAUUUAUCGGGGUUUGAUGAGCCCGCGUUGGAUUAGCUAGUUGGUGGGGUAAAGGCCUACCAAGGCGACGAUCCAUAGCUGGUCUGAGAGGAUGAUCAGCCACAUUGGGACUGAGACACGGCCCAAACUCCUACGGGAGGCAGCAGUGGGGAAUAUUGGACAAUGGGCGCAAGCCUGAUCCAGCCAUGCCGCGUGAGUGAUGAAGGUCUUAGGAUUGUAAAGCUCUUUCACCGACGAAGAUAAUGACGGUAGUCGGAGAAGAAGCCCCGGCUAACUUCGUGCCAGCAGCCGCGGUAAUACGAAGGGGGCUAGCGUUGUUCGGAAUUACUGGGCGUAAAGCGCAUGUAGGCGGAUAUUUAAGUCAGGGGUGAAAUCCCAGAGCUCAACUCUGGAACUGCCUUUGAUACUGGGUAUCUCGAGUAUGGAAGAGGUGAGUGGAAUUCCGAGUGUAGAGGUGA
This 574-nucleotide ribosomal RNA is filed under the name Agrobacterium sp. Rud12. RNAcentral describes it as "bacterial SSU rRNA". It matches the Rfam family "Bacterial small subunit ribosomal RNA", at positions 62 to 684 of the family's 1533-position model. The record is from RNAcentral. Lineage: Bacteria; Pseudomonadati; Pseudomonadota; Alphaproteobacteria; Hyphomicrobiales; Rhizobiaceae.